GACGAACGCUGGCGGCGUGCUUAACACAUGCAAGUCGAACGGAAGGGCCCUGCUUUUGUGGGGUGCUCGAGUGGCGAACGGGUGAGUAACACGUGAGUAACCUGCCCUUGACUUUGGGAUAACUUCAGGAAACUGGGGCUAAUACCGGAUAGGAGCUCCUGCUGCAUGGUGGGGGUUGGAAAGUUUCGGCGGUUGGGGAUGGACUCGCGGCUUAUCAGCUUGUUGGUGGGGUAGUGGCUUACCAAGGCUUUGACGGGUAGCCGGCCUGAGAGGGUGACCGGCCACAUUGGGACUGAGAUACGGCCCAGACUCCUACGGGAGGCAGCAGUGGGGAAUAUUGCACAAUGGGCGGAAGCCUGAUGCAGCAACGCCGCGUGCGGGAUGACGGCCUUCGGGUUGUAAACCGCCUUCGCCUGUGACGAAGCGUGAGUGACGGUAAUGGGUAAAGAAGCACCGGCUAACUACGUG
Molecule: ribosomal RNA, 468 nt
Filed under: uncultured bacterium
Lineage: Bacteria
Description: partial 16S ribosomal RNA
Rfam family: Bacterial small subunit ribosomal RNA
Source: RNAcentral